RNAcentral lists this long non-coding RNA (1628 nucleotides) under Mytilus galloprovincialis (Mediterranean mussel). Lineage: Eukaryota; Metazoa; Mollusca; Bivalvia; Mytilida; Mytilidae. The record is from RNAcentral.
CUUCCUGCUACAAAUUCAUCAGAAGAGGAAAAAUGAUAUAUGCGAUACUUUUCCUGAUGUUUGUACCUGUUGACAGUCAGCCAGAGAAGUAAGGGAUUCUUUUUCUAAUGUUUUUUUUUCUGUUAAAAAAUAGCCAUUGAGUCAGCUAGUAUAUUUUAAAUGUAUCUUAUACAGUAGUAUCUUUAAUAAUGGUAAAUGUAUCAGUUUACAGUCUAACAAGAUAAAAUGUAUAUAAAAAAUACCGAACUUGAAGUUCAAAAAGGAGAGUUAGUACAUCUUUAAAGUCAGCCAGAGAAUUAAAACUACAUAUUUGAAUGUGUGUACAUAUAACUGUUGAAAGUCAAUCAGACGACCUCUUUUAAUUGCAAAUGUGUCCAUUCAUAGUCAGUCAGUUAAGUACGCUGAAUUGAGUUCGUGUUUCUCAUACUUCUGUUUUCUAUGGUUUGUAUGUGUACUUUUGUUUAUCUGUUGUUGUAGGAUAGUCGGUUUAUUUUUGAGUUUGAGUUCAAAGUCCCUUUGGGAUCUGUGUUUUCUUAAAUGAACCUGUUUACACUAGGUUAGAAGCAUAACAGUAUCAUUGAAUGUAUCAUUGAAUGUAUUAAACAGUUUUUCUCAUCAAAUCCGCACGAAAUACAAAAAACAGUUAAUAAAACACAAGGACACAACAUACCGAUCUAAGGGCACUCACAGUUACCAAAACAUACUGCAUAGCUGUAAAUUAACAUAGAAAUUAUUUCAAAAUAUAAGGUACCUAUUGACAAGUAUUUGCUAUUAAACUUAUCAUCUUUUGAUAUUUGUAAAUUAACAAACAGGAGGUAAGUAAGAGACGAGUCUCCGCGUCUUUUCCAGUUUUUAUAUACAGUUAGAGAAGUGUGUAUUAAUUUUGUAAUGUUCGUAAAUAUGCCCGUUUACACUCAGGCAAAUAAGAUUGUGUUUCUACAUGUUUGUAAACGUACCUGUUAUUUACAGUCAGCCAGAGGAGUAAGUUUGCAUUUUUUCCAAAUCCUGUUGACCGUGAAUUAGAUAAUCUAGUAUGUUUGUUUUAAUUGAUCUUUAUAAAUUUAUAAAUCAUUAACAUGAUUAAUUUACACAUUAAAGUGAGUUAACAUCUAUUUUGACAAGCAACACUGAUAUCUAUAUAUAGUUUUAUCAAUAACGCACGAAAGAGGAUAUGGAAAUUUACAGUUCUUCACUUAGAAACCGUAAUUUGAGUAAGGGUUCGUAUUAUAAAAAGUAUGUAAAAAUAUCUGACUGAUUUUAACAUAUGAAUGACAUCAUAGUGACAUCCCAUCAACUGUCGGGACUAAAGUGUUACAAUGGUAAAUGCAUACAUUGUUUUUUUAAUUAAAUGGACAUAUAUGAAUGGCUCUUAUCACUUCUGUUCUAUCGUUCUGAGUUUUUGAAUUUAAAUCAUGUCUGCCUCAUCAAUAGCCAAUUAAUGUCGUAUAAAAUAUAUUAUUGAUAUUGACAAUAAUUGCUAUGAUUUUAGCUGUACUUAUAUAAUGACCGUUCCAAAGGUAACCAGACCUGGGACAGACAUUGAUAUAUGUAUAACGAUAUGGAAGAAAGGGUCUGGUAAUGUUAAUAUAGCCGCUGUAUUAAGAAAUAAUAAUGGACAAACGAUAUCU